UUCGGGGGGCGGCCUAAACAUGCAAGUCGAGCGGUAGCACAGAGAGCUUGCUCUCGGGUGACGAGCGGCGGACGGGUGAGUAAUGUCUGGGAAACUGCCUGAUGGAGGGGGAUAACUACUGGAAACGGUAGCUAAUACCGCAUAAUGUCGCAAGACCAAAGUGGGGGACCUUCGGGCCUCAUGCCAUCAGAUGUGCCCAGAUGGGAUUAGCUAGUAGGUGGGGUAACGGCUCACCUAGGCGACGAUCCCUAGCUGGUCUGAGAGGAUGACCAGCCACACUGGAACUGAGACACGGUCCAGACUCCUACGGGAGGCAGCAGUGGGGAAUAUUGCACAAUGGGCGCAAGCCUGAUGCAGCCAUGCCGCGUGUGUGAAGAAGGCCUUCGGGUUGUAAAGCACUUUCAGCGGGGAGGAAGGCGUUAAGGUUAAUAACCUUGGCGAUUGACGUUACCCGCAGAAGAAGCACCGGCUAACUCCGUGCCAGCAGCCGCGGUAAUACGGAGGGUGCAAGCGUUAAUCGGAAUUACUGGGCGUAAAGCGCACGCAGGCGGUCUGUCAAGUCGGAUGUGAAAUCCCCGGGCUCAACCUGGGAACUGCAUUCGAAACUGGCAGGCUAGAGUCUUGUAGAGGGGGGUAGAAUUCCAGGUGUAGCGGUGAAAUGGCGUAGAAUAAA
This 673-nucleotide ribosomal RNA is filed under the name Klebsiella pneumoniae. RNAcentral describes it as "bacterial SSU rRNA". It matches the Rfam family "Bacterial small subunit ribosomal RNA", at positions 36 to 698 of the family's 1533-position model. Lineage: Bacteria; Pseudomonadati; Pseudomonadota; Gammaproteobacteria; Enterobacterales; Enterobacteriaceae. The record is from RNAcentral.